RNAcentral lists this unclassified non-coding RNA (218 nucleotides) under Hevea brasiliensis (rubber tree). Lineage: Eukaryota; Viridiplantae; Streptophyta; Magnoliopsida; Malpighiales; Euphorbiaceae. The record is from RNAcentral.
GCCACACUUUGUACCAUUUCCAUAAAGUUUUCUAAGUUCUUGUUCCUCAGUAGCAUUCAUAAGGAAAACAGCUUUACCGGGAGUAUAAGAUCCAUCUCCAACUUUUCUAACAAAAGUAAUGUUUCCUUUUUGUGCCUUGACCUUAGCAUAGUCAGUACUGUUAAGGUAAGUGAAGAAUUUUUUGCAUUGAUCAACAUUAGAAAGUACCCAAGUUUCAG